GGUUGUGUGAUGUAGAGGUUUAGCAUUCCAGAUUUUGAUUCUGGCCACCUGGGUUCGACUCCCAGCACGACCA
This is a non-coding RNA of Moesziomyces antarcticus, 73 nucleotides long. The record is from the annotation of a RefSeq genome assembly. NCBI's taxonomy places the organism in Eukaryota, Fungi, Basidiomycota, Ustilaginomycetes, Ustilaginales, Ustilaginaceae.